This 433-nucleotide ribosomal RNA is filed under the name uncultured bacterium. Its description in RNAcentral is "partial 16S ribosomal RNA". It matches the Rfam family "Bacterial small subunit ribosomal RNA", at positions 29 to 507 of the family's 1533-position model. The record is from RNAcentral.
AACGAACGCUGGCGGCAGGCCUAACACAUGCAAGUCGAGCGAGGACUUCGGUUCUAGCGGCGGACGGGUGAGUAACGCGUGGGGAUGUGCCCUUCUCUACGGAAUAGCCCUGGGAAACUGGGAGUAAUACCGUAUACGCCCUAUUGGGGAAAGAUUUAUCGGAGAAGGAUCAGCCCGCGUUGGAUUAGGUAGUUGGUGGGGUAAUGGCCUACCAAGCCGACGAUCCAUAGCUGGUUUGAGAGGAUGAUCAGCCACACUGGGACUGAGACACGGCCCAGACUCCUACGGGAGGCAGCAGUGGGGAAUCUUAGACAAUGGGGGCAACCCUGAUCUAGCCAUGCCGCGUGAGUGAUGAAGGCCUUAGGGUUGUAAAGCUCUUUCAGCUGGGAAGAUAAUGACGGUACCAGCAGAAGAAGCCCCGGCUAACUCCGUG